UGGGGAAUAUUGCACAAUGGGCGAAAGCCUGAUGCAGCAACGCCGCGUGAGUGAUGAAGGCCUUCGGGUUGUAAAGCUCUGUCUUCUGGGACGAUAAUGACGGUACCAGAGGAGGAAACCACGGCUAACUACGUGCCAGCAGCCGCGGUAAUACGUAGGUGGCAAGCGUUGUCCGGAUUUACUGGGCGUAAAGGAUGCGUAGGCGGAUACUUAAGUCAGAUGUGAAAAUCCCGGGCUUAACUUGGGAACUGCAUUUGAAACUGGGUAUCUAGAGUGCGGGAGAGGAAAGUGGAAUUCCUAGUGUAGCGGUGAAAUGCGUAGAGAUUAGGAAGAACACCAGUGGCGAAGGCGACUUUCUGGACCGUAACUGACGCUGUGGCAUGAAAGCGUGGGGAGCAAACA
This 402-nucleotide ribosomal RNA is filed under the name uncultured bacterium. RNAcentral describes it as "bacterial SSU rRNA". It matches the Rfam family "Bacterial small subunit ribosomal RNA", at positions 355 to 774 of the family's 1533-position model. The record is from RNAcentral.